UAGGUAGAAGCCCAUAGGUUUAGGCGCUUAGCUGUUAACUAAGAUUUUAAGGGAUCGAGGCCCUUCUACCUAG
RNAcentral lists this transfer RNA (73 nucleotides) under Regalecus glesne (king of herrings). RNAcentral describes it as "tRNA-Asn". The record is from RNAcentral. Lineage: Eukaryota; Metazoa; Chordata; Actinopteri; Lampriformes; Regalecidae.